GCUGCAGGGCCUCAGCUCCCUUUCCUCCAAAGGCCGUGGCACGUAUGGGCUAUGUCGAGGUUCUGGUUGCCCAGGUAAAAUUGGCAGAGCUUUUCCGGUAGAGCCCACUAUGCGCCGCUCACAGUUCCAGUCCAGUGGGACGCAUUGGUAAAGGUGCUGUAUUUGCCUCCGUUGUCUUCAAGAAUUCAGGAUCACUUCUGUUCCAAGAAGAAAUUUUGGAACAGGACAUUAGUGGACGAGCUGUAUGGGAAUAGGGACUGGACCCUAGGUUUCUUGAACGAACUUUCAGGUUAAACAUCUUUAGUUCCUUCAACUGACCCUCAUCGAGUAGCCCUUUACCACCUGAUCACCCCCUCUCUACUUGGUCAAUGAACUUCCAAGAAUGUGGCUCCUUGGAUUCGGCACAAUUCUUACCAACCGUCUGACCAGGCACAGGUUGAGAUGGGUAUUCUGAUGGGACUUCUAUGGGAACAGCAAAUUCCUCAUUGGAACACGGCAAUCCUAGCACCUCAUCUGCCAACCCAGCAGAAUGCCAGAAAGGACAAUGGGCGUUUCAUGUUUGACCCCAGUCUUUCAGAACUAAAAGAACUUUAGGACUAUGGCCUCUCAGGUUCAUGGAAGUGGAGUGAUUGCUCUCCUGGUAUGUGGGCUCUGCCCUGCCUUAUGUAAGGCAAUGAAUAAAAGAAAGAAAAGAAUAAUCUCUUUGCUUCUGGCUUCCAGAGAAAGGCACAAGACAAGAGUAUUUUACAACUACAUUUCAUUAUUUAAAUUGCAAAGAAAUGAGAUACCUUUUUCUUCAAAAGAAAACAAAACAAGAAAUCCCACCAAACUUCAAGGCAGAUUGAAUCUGGACAAUUUUCCAGAACCCGCUGGAUUACAGAGACAAGGCACUAGAGUUUGUUGUACAUACACCUCCUUCAGCAUACUUUGCUUUUUGAGGUCAAUAAAUGAAA
Vombatus ursinus (common wombat) is the source of this 953-nucleotide long non-coding RNA. RefSeq lists it as uncharacterized. NCBI's taxonomy places the organism in Eukaryota, Metazoa, Chordata, Mammalia, Diprotodontia, Vombatidae. The transcript is spliced from 3 exons. The record is from RefSeq and is a predicted model, not a curated record.